Molecule: long non-coding RNA, 363 nt
Filed under: Nicotiana benthamiana
Lineage: Eukaryota; Viridiplantae; Streptophyta; Magnoliopsida; Solanales; Solanaceae
Description: long non-coding RNA (NBEN_LNC038987)
Source: RNAcentral
UUGACCAAAUAAGACCUCUAACCUCACCCAAUCUGUCCACAAGGUAAUCCAACAAGAUUAUCGUCCGAGGCACGAAAUCACGAAGCAAUAACGCUAGAAUAAUCUCCACGAUGUAAGUAUCGUUAUAUAGCCUCUCUUUUUCUUUGUAAUUUGAGUUUUGGAAGGUAUUUUAAAGUUAGUAGAAUGCCUAAUUUCUGGUUUCAAGAUCGUAAAUAUCAAGUAAGAUUGAUUAAUUCAUUUUAUAAUCGGUAGAACUCACCGGACGGUAAUCGGAAGUCGUGAGUUCGAGUUAUUUGAUUUGUAAUAGACUUUUAUGGGCUAUUUCGUGUAAUUUUUGGGUUGUAUAUUUUUAUGCUAUUUAAU